Long non-coding RNA from Malaclemys terrapin pileata, 330 nucleotides. RefSeq lists it as uncharacterized. The transcript is spliced from 2 exons. The record is from RefSeq and is a predicted model, not a curated record. NCBI's taxonomy places the organism in Eukaryota, Metazoa, Chordata, Testudines, Emydidae.
CUUGCCGUGCCUCCCGCCGCUCCUCCGGUCGCACCCCCCCCCCUUGCGCCUCGCUCCUCCGGCUGCGCUGAUACAGACUAACACGGCUACCCCCUGAUACCUGAAUCCAGUAGGAGUUUUGGAUGUGCACAGAAGGCUGGACUGGUUCCUGCAUGGUUACAGAACUGCAGUAAAGUGGAACAAUUUUCAGUUUGUGUGACUGGAGGAUAUCUGGAUCCAUACUGUAAGACUGUCCCAGAUGACGAGGAAAAGUUGAGGUGCCUUUGCUGUUCUUUUGUUGUACUUUUAGUUUCUGUGGAGAACUUGCCAAUACAAUAUUACUGUCUUCUU